GACUUCCUACGGGGGGCAGCAGUCGGGAAUAUUGCGCAAUGGAGGAAACUCUGACGCAGUGACGCCGCGUAUGGGAAGAAGGUUUUCGGAUUGUAAACCAUUGUCGUUAGGGAAGAAGAAGUGACAGUACCUAAGGAGGAAGCUCCGGCUAACUAUGUGCCAGCAGCCGCGGUAAUACAUAGGGAGCGAGCGUUAUCCGGAUUUAUUGGGUGUAAAGGGUGCGUAGACGGGAAAUUAAGUUAGUUGUGAAAUCCCUCGGCUUAACUGAGGAACUGCAACUAAAACUGAUUUUCUUGAGUACUGGG
Molecule: ribosomal RNA, 305 nt
Filed under: uncultured bacterium
Lineage: Bacteria
Description: bacterial SSU rRNA
Rfam family: Bacterial small subunit ribosomal RNA
Source: RNAcentral